Molecule: long non-coding RNA, 1638 nt
Organism: Alosa sapidissima (American shad)
Lineage: Eukaryota; Metazoa; Chordata; Actinopteri; Clupeiformes; Clupeidae
Exons: 4
Source: RefSeq, a predicted model, not a curated record
GUGACGUGCUGACGCCAUUCUCGCUUCACGCUCUCAGUCUCCACCCUCUGUGCACAAAGGAUGGGAGAGUCGAACGUCAUUAUCUGUUGUGAAAUUCCUUAGGUUUCAGGCUACGAUAUGCGUCCUGAAACAGUUUGAAUCCAACGACUGUUAGUUGCCAGAGUUGACAGAGGAAAAUGAUUUAUGAUGGUUUAUGAUUGACCUGUUGAAUGGCAACCUGUUGAAUGUUUUUACUCCAGUUCCAGCACAAUAAUGCUUCAAGUGUUUUGAUUCCUAGAGAAAUGGGAGGGCCAAGUAAACAAAUACCAUGUCGCUCAUUUAGUCAAAGGAAGCACACUGUUUCUGUUUUUGAGCUUUGGUGAGGACAGCUACAGGGGGAUCCCCUCCGUGCACACUGCUGUAACCUACUUGAAAUGAGGUAUAUGCACGCUCUGCAAAAAUGAAAUAUUAGUAGGGCUUAAAAACAUGCAAUUUACUUGGAAUUAUAUCUGCACCUGUUACACAGAAUCACAAAAAGUAAAUCUUGAGUUGAGAGUGUUUUUUUGUGAACUUUGUGACUUGAAGACACUGGGCUAGAACAGCAGUGCACUCUGGUGGUCAUUUGUAUGCACUGCAAUUUCAAAUAAUAAUAAUAACAACAAAACAAUACUACCAAUAAUAAUGAAUCAUAAUCAUAAUAUUAAUAAUCAUUUCAAAUGUUUACAUGCACACAAACACACCCACAUACAUUGUUACGUUUAUGCAGUGCAGAACACAUUUAACUCUCAAUGUUUUCCCUGAUAUAGACCUAAGUAUGAAUUUGAAAAAAAAAACACAUGGGCUGUCUUGGAACAUUAAUACACCCCCCACCAUGGCAAUUCACUAUCUGCCUUAUGGAAAAAUACCAAAUAUUCUCAGUACAAUGAAAUGUUUGUGUGAAGCUAGACAAGGGAUGGACAACGAAUUCCUGUAACCAACAGUUCACUGUUUUGUAACACUAGAUGGCAGUAGACUCAAAUUAAACAUUUUGGAAGAGCAUUGGUCUGCUUUUGGAGCAAUGUGUAGCAAGCAGUGUGUUUUAGACUGCCAGUACUAACUACAUCACAAUACCAGCUUUAUUUAAAUCUUAUUUUAUAAAUGUAAGAAAAUAUUUUCUACCACAAAAAUAUGUCAACCAGGGGUAAAAUGUGAAGGAUUUUCAUUGACAAAAUAAACGUGAUUCAUUUUAAAGGUAAUCAAAAAUCCAAAUGCAGGUUGCAAGACAAUGAAGUAAUUUAAACACCUGCUGUGUCUGACAGACUAAAUUCAAAGACUGGAUGUGUGAGUGCUCACAGUGCCUCCCACUUCCCACAUCACGAUAUUAAAACCUCCAUCUCAUUUCAAGGCAAUAUUUUUUUGAACAACACAGGUGCUGUUCCUCUUGAUAAGAAACACAAUUUAAUUGCUGUGAUUGUUUUGUCAUUUUAAAAGUUUUGAUCAGAUUUUUGUGGACUUUAAUAGGCAGACGAAAUGAUAGAUGCACCAACGAACAAUCCCACCCCCCCAAGAUAAGCCCCCUCACUGGGAAUAGAAUGUUAUCAGUGGGAGCCCAACUUGUGCAUUCAGAUGUUUUAUGCUAUUUUUUUGUGAGUGUGUGUUAUAUCAUCAUUAGAUAUGUUU